Non-coding RNA from Trichonephila inaurata madagascariensis, 73 nucleotides. The record is from the annotation of a GenBank genome assembly. Lineage: Eukaryota; Metazoa; Arthropoda; Arachnida; Araneae; Nephilidae.
GUCCCUGUAGCGCAUUGGACAGCACUUUGGAUUUCUCAUCCAAAGGUCGCGGGUUCAAUUGUCGUCUGGGAUG